CCGGAAUAGCUCAUUUGGUAGAGCAGAGGACUGAAAAUC
This 39-nucleotide transfer RNA is filed under the name Dicranum baicalense. RNAcentral's name for it is "Dicranum sp. DT-2022a partial tRNA-Phe". Lineage: Eukaryota; Viridiplantae; Streptophyta; Bryopsida; Dicranales; Dicranaceae. The record is from RNAcentral.